This 1418-nucleotide ribosomal RNA is filed under the name Campylobacter coli. Its description in RNAcentral is "partial 23S ribosomal RNA". It matches the Rfam family "Bacterial large subunit ribosomal RNA", at positions 467 to 1732 of the family's 2925-position model. Lineage: Bacteria; Pseudomonadati; Campylobacterota; Epsilonproteobacteria; Campylobacterales; Campylobacteraceae. The record is from RNAcentral.
UAAAUACUAAUACCAGAUCGAUAGUGCACAAGUACCGUGAGGGAAAGGUGAAAAGAACUGAGGUGAUCAGAGUGAAAUAGAACCUGAAACCAUUUGCUUACAAUCAUUCAGAGCCCUAUGUAGCAAUACAGGGUGAUGGACUGCCUUUUGCAUAAUGAGCCUGCGAGUUGUGGUGUCUGGCAAGGUUAAGCAAACGCGAAGCCGUAGCGAAAGCGAGUCUGAAUAGGGCGCUUAGUCAGAUGCUGCAGACCCGAAACGAAGUGAUCUAUCCAUGAGCAAGUUGAAGCUAGUGUAAGAACUAGUGGAGGACUGAACCCAUAGGCGUUGAAAAGCCCCGGGAUGACUUGUGGAUAGGGGUGAAAGGCCAAUCAAACUUCGUGAUAGCUGGUUCUCUCCGAAAUAUAUUUAGGUAUAGCGUUGUGUCGUAAUAUAAGGGGGUAGAGCACUGAAUGGGCUAGGGCAUACACCAAUGUACCAAACCCUAUCAAACUCCGAAUACCUUAUAUGUAAUCACAGCAGUCAGGCGGCGAGUGAUAAAAUCCGUCGUCAAGAGGGAAACAACCCAGACUACCAGCUAAGGUCCCUAAAUCUUACUUAAGUGGAAAACGAUGUGAAGUUACUUAAACAACCAGGAGGUUGGCUUAGAAGCAGCCAUCCUUUAAAGAAAGCGUAAUAGCUCACUGGUCUAGUGAUUUUGCGCGGAAAAUAUAACGGGGCUAAAGUAAGUACCGAAGCUGUAGACUUGCGCACAACUUAGAUUAUUUAAGUUUAGAAUAUGAGAAACUAAGUUAUAUGUUUAGUUAUAUUUUUACUGAUUUUUAUAGAGUAAAGAUAGAAAUAAAACUUAGUAAAAUCAGUAAAAAUAUUCUUAGACUAAAGUUAAGUAGUUUAAGUUGUGUGCAAGUGGUAGGAGAGCGUUCUAUUUGCGUCGAAGGUAUACCGGUAAGGAGUGCUGGAGCGAAUAGAAGUGAGCAUGCAGGCAUGAGUAGCGAUAAUUAAUGUGAGAAUCAUUAACGCCGUAAACCCAAGGUUUCCUACGCGAUGCUCGUCAUCGUAGGGUUAGUCGGGUCCUAAGUCGAGUCCGAAAGGGGUAGACGAUGGCAAAUUGGUUAAUAUUCCAAUACCAACAUUAGUGUGCGAUGGAAGGACGCUUAGGGCUAAGGGGGCUAGCGGAUGGAAGUGCUAGUCUAAGGUCGUAGGAGGUUAUACAGGCAAAUCCGUAUAACAAUACUCCGAGAACUGAAAGGCUUUUUGAAGUCUUCGGAUGGAUAGAAGAACCCCUGAUGCCGUCGAGCCAAGAAAAGUUUCUAAGUUUAGCUAAUGUUGCCCGUACCGUAAACCGACACAGGUGGGUGGGAUGAGUAUUCUAAGGCGCGUGGAAGAACUCUCUUUAAGGAACUCUGCAAAAUAGCACCGUA